AAUCAUUCAUCUACAUUUUAACACCAUGAAACUACUUUAUUGCACUACCCCCAAGGCAAUCUCUCCCCAAUAAUCUGGUAACUUACAACAACUGAUAUUUCUGGAACCCGACUAGAUGUCCGGAUGUAACUCACAUUCUCUGGCACAAAUAUAAACUCCAUGCAGGCAAACUCUUCUGUCUCCUUCACCACUCUGUGCCCAGGGCUUAGAAGAGGCUGGCAUACAAGUGAAGAAAUGCAACCACAAAAAAAAUACCCUGCCUUAUGUCACAAAGUAAGGAGCUGGUGUGCUAAAGAAAUUGUUGUAUGACUUUGGACGUGUCAUUUAAAGUUCCUGCUCUCGUGUAAAAUAAAGAGGAUGAGUCAUGAUGA
Suricata suricatta (meerkat) is the source of this 371-nucleotide long non-coding RNA. RefSeq lists it as uncharacterized. Lineage: Eukaryota; Metazoa; Chordata; Mammalia; Carnivora; Herpestidae. The record is from RefSeq and is a predicted model, not a curated record. The transcript has 4 exons.